Molecule: ribosomal RNA, 234 nt
Filed under: uncultured bacterium
Lineage: Bacteria
Description: partial 16S ribosomal RNA
Rfam family: Bacterial small subunit ribosomal RNA
Source: RNAcentral
UUGAACGCUGGCGGCAUGCCUUACACAUGCAAGUCGAACGGUAGAGGGGCAACCCUUGAGAGUGGCGAACGGGUGAGUAAUAUAUCGGAACGUGCCCAGUCGUGGGGGAUAACGCAGCGAAAGCUGCGCUAAUACCGCAUACGAUCUAUGGAUGAAAGCGGGGGAUCGCAAGACCUCGCGCGAUUGGAGCGGCCGAUAUCAGAUUAGGUAGUUGGUGGGGUAAAGCCCACCAAG